GCCAGGACCGAGCCAGCUCGGACCGAGCGAGCCACGAGCCGGUCCGAAAGACCGCUCGUGCCGUCAGCCCGUCCCAAACACGCCGUCGGAGUAGUAUAGUAAUUUUUGCAUUUGUUUGUAGUACGUGGUUUUGGGGGUCCAUUCAUGCUCGGCAGCAAAGCACUAGGCGCGUAGGCAGGGGUAGAGUAGAGGCCGUAGAGCGGGGUAGUAUCCCAUCUCAUCCCAUCUCAUAUGCCCUGUGUCCGUGUCCGCGGGGAGAUCUGGUUGGUCCCCUACGGCCGCGGGAAGGGUCUGGAUCUGCGCAGCCCCGGCACCAGCCCGGCGUGGGUCAUGCCGUGACUGACACUCACAGGACAGCCUCUCCAUGUCCAUCCGUCCAUCCAUCCAUCAUUGCCAAGUCAUGUGAUCCGCAUAACUCCCCCCCGUAAUGUAAUCGCUUCCCAAAUCACCAAGCCACCUCCCUCCAUGCCACCAGAUGCGGUUUGCAGAUGCAGAUCCCAAUCUCUGCCAUGCCAUGCCCAUGGCACCGCACAGCAGAGCAUGCGGGCGCUAGGACGGCACAAAGCGAAAGCCUGAAACUGCAGUGCACAUGGCCUCGCUGACGCAUGGACGCCGGCCGCCGUACGUGCGUCCUCCAGGCACGCCGCCGCCGCCGCCGCAGGUAAAACGGGAGGAUAAUCUCGAGGUCUUGCAGGGGAAUCAAUCGCAAUCACAAUCACAUGGUGGCUUUUACAGUGCGUGGGGGAUGAUAAUCUCGCUGGCUCGCUGCUAAUAAGCUUUCCGGUGCGUGCGUGCGCGGCCACUUUACUGCCGGCCUGCACCACCGCGAUCUGG
Molecule: long non-coding RNA, 834 nt
Filed under: Hordeum vulgare
Lineage: Eukaryota; Viridiplantae; Streptophyta; Magnoliopsida; Poales; Poaceae
Description: long non-coding RNA (HVUL_LNC005950)
Source: RNAcentral